AAAGAAGAAAAAGGAAAAAGAAAAAAGAAAAUAGAAAUUAAAAUUCAUCCUCAUCCUUCUCCUCUCUUUUUCGCGCUCUCUCUACGCUACUCUCUUCAUCUCUGUAAAAUUUCAACAGCUUUCUACUCUCUCUGAUAAGCCACCGUGAUAUCUCCAAUCACUCCACCGGGAGGCAUGUAGUAACCACCGCCAAUUCAAGCUCUCAAUUCCCCCUAGUUUUUCUCAAUUUUGGAGCUGAGGUUGCAAACCCACCUCCACUUAGAUUUUCAAAUUAGUUGAAAUUAGAGGUGAACCGAGUGCAAGCACAAGCGAUAGGGGAAAUGGGCACAUCCAUGGUUGACUAAACAAUUAAUAGAGUUUUUGUGACGUGUACAGAGUUUAGAAGCGAGUGAUCUCGCUCGUGGGCAGUUGCACGUGUCAAGUCACUACCCUCCUUUUUGCUGGUACAGUUGGAGUUCUCACGUGGCAUGCUUAGGCUAACUUUUGAUUGUAUAUAGUUGGGUUAGAGAUGUAAGGUCAUGUAACCUUCUUUUGCUAACGGGAUUGUAAAUAAUUGUCGAAGCAUGGUAUCGUUAUUUUGUUAUGUAUAGUAGUAACUGGUUGUGCUAA
This is a long non-coding RNA of Salvia hispanica, 609 nucleotides long. RefSeq lists it as uncharacterized. The record is from RefSeq and is a predicted model, not a curated record. NCBI's taxonomy places the organism in Eukaryota, Viridiplantae, Streptophyta, Magnoliopsida, Lamiales, Lamiaceae.